ACGCUGGCGGCGUGCCUAAUACAUGCAAGUCGAACGGUCUUUCUAUGGAAGCUUGCCUCCACUGAGAAGAUAGUGGCGAACGGGUGAGUAACACGUGGGUAACCUGCCCAUAAGAGGGGGAUAACAUCCGGAAACGGGUGCUAAUACCGCAUAGUUUUCUUGAUCGCAUGAUCGGGAAAGGAAAGACGGCCUUUGUGCUGUCGCUUAUGGAUGGACCCGCGGCGUAUUAGUUAGUUGGUGAGGUAACGGCUCACCAAGACGAUGAUACGUAGCCGACCUGAGAGGGUGAUCGGCCACAUUGGGACUGAGACACGGCCCAAACUCCUACGGGAGGCAGCAGUAGGGAAUCUUCCGCAAUGGACGAAAGUCUGACGGAGCAACGCCGCGUGAGUGAAGAAAAGGUUUUCGGAUCGUAAAACUCUGUUGUCAGAGAAGAACAAGUUGGAGAGUAACUGCUCCAGCCUUGACGGUAUCUGACCAGAAAGCCACGGCUAACUACGUGCCAGCCGCAGC
Molecule: ribosomal RNA, 513 nt
Filed under: uncultured bacterium
Lineage: Bacteria
Description: bacterial SSU rRNA
Rfam family: Bacterial small subunit ribosomal RNA
Source: RNAcentral